CCAGGUUCCCACCUUUACUGUCUCUGUCUCUGUGUUUUGCUUUGUGUUGGCAUUUUGUUUGGGGUUGGUUUUUUUCCUUAAGUUCCACAGCACCCGUUCUUCAGCCCCAUCCUGUUGACCUGGUCUCUCGGCAAGUGGCUCCCAAAGUGGGGCGGGCAAACAAGCAGCUAUGAAGAAUGAAGGACCAUGACUACAGUGGGAAAUUUUAUUCAUUGUAAGUGCUGUGGAGUCCUGAGAAGAAGGGAGGAAUUUUGUGUGGCCACACUGAAGAAAUCCUGCAGAUACGUUCACUCUCUCAGGCAGGUUGCUUUCUACUAAAGGAUACCUAUUUAACUGAUUGAUGGAAACCGAUUCUCCAGAAGAAAAUGAGUCAUUUUGUUGCUGGGUUAAGCAUGCUUUGGAUUUCCUGAAGUGCUCUUGGGAUGGCUGGUUUUAACUCCUAUCAGAAAAGAUAUCAAAAAUACCAAAAGGAAGAUACCUACAACCUCUAUAUCAUCUGGGAUUUCCAAGACCCUAAGCAUCCAGAAUGAGGCUUUACUGUAUACCCUGUGAAAAUCACAUGCCCUUUGCAAGAUUUCUGCAGUUCCUGAGAGUCGUCACUCUUGGGAACUCUCUAACACCAAGAAAAGAGCGCCUUCUUCCCAGUGGCAACGUGUAUCCAACAAUGCAGUGGAAGUGUAAAGAACACUCUCCCAGUUCCAGAGCUCCCUGGAUUGCAGUUUAACAUCUCUGUCGUCCCAGUCUUUCUUCCUUCGCUGUUCCAUAGGUCUUUAUCUUGAAGGCAGUCUUCUAUGAACAUUAUACAAGUAAAUCUCUGUUUAAGUCUGUUUCCUGGAAACCUUGCCUAAAAGGGCUGAUGUCAGGGUGUUCAAGGAAGCAGGAACUAUAAUUGGAUCUGGACCAUGAGUUGGUCAUUUGGCAGGAGGACCCCGCUACUGGUGGUAGAUAAAGCACAAUUGACCCCCGGCAUCACUCAUAGAUUUGGUAGAAUUCUCCAGUGAAGCUCUCUGGUCCUGAGUUUUCUUCAUUUGAAGAUUACCACUUGCAUGGAGCAUCUUUUUUCAUACCUUCACUUUCAGCCUACAUGUGUCCUUAAAUCUAAAGUAAGUUUUUUAUAGAGAGUGUUUGGUUGAAUCUUAUUUUUCAUCCAUGCUGCUACUCUAUGUCUUUUGAUUGGGGGGCUUAAUCAAUUUAUAUUUGAAGUAAUUAUUGAUAGCUAAGGACUAACUAUUGACAUUUUGUUUAUUGUUUUAUCUCUGCUUUGUUGUCCUUUUGUUCCUUUCUUCCUCUCUUGAUGUCUUCAUUUGUGAUUCAGUGAUGCUUUUGUAGUGACAUGCUUUGAUUUUCUUUCUCUUUAUUUGUGUACCUACUGUAAUUUUUUUUUUUGUAAUUACCAUAUAAAGGCUUUCUAGACCCAACUCCAAUGUGCCUUUGCAUGUAUGGGUUGGGUGGGUGUUUAUACAUCCACAAGCAAUUAUAUGAAAACACCAAAAAAUCUAUAAUUCAACUCAAUUCUGACACUAUCUACUGCAAGAUUGCAUCAAAUUUCGUAGGUUAUGCACUUAGUCCUAUAAGAGUUCCCCCUCUCCCAUUCCAAUUGAGGUGCUGGUCACAAGUCCAGGUUAUCACCUAUGCUUUGACAACAGGCUAUAGAUUGAAUGUGCCAAUGACCCCUUUCCUUAGGUUUGGUUAAUUUGCUAGAGAGGACACAGAACUUAUAAGAAACAUUUUUUUUUUACUUGAUCAUUUGUUUAUUAUAUAGUGAUAUAACUGAGAAAUGGAGAUAGAGGAGAUGCACAAGAUAUGGGGAAAGAACAAGGAACUUCUACGCACUAUCCAGCUGCAUUGAUGCCUGAUGAUUUGAAGAAAUAGCACCAUUUCCCAAUCCCAGAGAGAAAUUCCAGUUUUGUUCCAAAUGUCCAGGCUUUGCCAAGCCUUCAGAAUUUUCCAUGAGCACCAUUUGUUGAAGACUAUUUUUUCUGCAUUGAAGGAUCUUGCAAGAUUUGUUGGAAUCCAUGGAUCUAAAGUGAAUAUCUUUGAAAAAGAAUUUUGAUGCUGACUAUACAAUUCCUGGUUGAAACUUUUCUUUCAGCAUUUUAAUAUUUUAUCCCACUUUCAUUUGUCCUCUGAUUUCAGUUGAGAAAUAUGUGGUUAACAUUGCCUUUUCUUAGUUCAGUGUGUUUUCAUUAUUGUAAUAUUUUUCCAGAGUUUUAACAAACUUGAUUCUGACCAUUUUUGCUUGAUUUUUCAAUAUUUCUGUAGAAAUAAAUUUGCUUGAAUCUUCCUCCUCUGUCAUUUUUGCUGACAUUUUCAGAUCCUUCUAUGAACUUUUGUCUUUAUUACAUUUGAAAUGUCAAAAGUAGUUUCUAAGCAUAAGCUCUAUUGAACUUUUGAUAAUUAUAUAAUUCAUAGGAAUUUAAACAUCCCUGAUAAAACAAGAUCUCUUUUCCAAUUAUGGGAGAGUUAAUUUACUGUGUCUUGGGAACUGAAAUAAGCUUGCCGUUAGUGAGAGUCACCAUUUAAAAGCGGUAAAUACAGACAUUAAUGGAUUUCCUUAAUACACAUCUUACAGGAUAUUUUGCACAAAAACCAAGAGAUGACUAGUUUCUAUUGCUAUCUGAUGAGUACAAUGAAUGACAUUUAUUACAUAGAGAAUAUUGUAUUCCCAUCAGAAUUCAUAUAUUAAAAUAAUUGUGAUAGUAUUUGAAGGUGGGGCCUUUGUGAGGUGAUUAUGUCAUGAGAGUGGAGUCUUCAUAAUGAAAUUAGUGGCCUUAUAAAUGAGGUCUCAAAGAGCUACCUUGCCUCUUCUGCCAUGUGAGGUUACAGUGAAAAGACAGUCACCAUCCAUGAGCCAGAAAGUGGGUCCUUACCAGGUGCUGAAUCUGCUGGCCACUUAAUCUUGGAUUACCUAGCCUCCUGAGCUGUGAGAAGUACAUUUCUGCUGUUUAUAAGCCACCCAGUGUAUGGUGUUCUUGUCGUAACAGCCCAAACAGACUAAGACAGCAAUUUUUCUUCUGAAAUUACUUUAAUUCCUUAUCAAUAAAACUAACACAGAUUAUGGCUGUCCUACUGGCCUACAAAUCCCUUGCUUCUUGCGCCAAUGUAGUUAAAUUUUUUCUGUAUUCUACAGUCAUUAUGUUUUAUUUAUACAUGGAGGAGUAAUAAUUUAAUGAUUCUAACACUUGUUAUUCAAAUAUUGAUUUCUCUACACAUAUUCUUUAAUUCAUUUUUUAUAUCAUUUAACAAAUGUUGUUUAUAUUUAAUUGUCUUUUUAAAGACAAAUAUUUUGGAUAGUACGGAGAAAGGAAUACCAUUAAAUCCCUCUGAAAGAACUUCUAGAGCCAUUGAGCAGUCCAUGGAAUAUGUCAAACUUUGUCUUGAUUGUAGUUUCAUAAGUUGUGCUGGUGUUUAAUCUUCCUUCCAGGUCAGUCAGAGGUCUAUAGUAUUGCCAGUAGCUUCCAGGGAGUCCAAUCUCAGCUUGGGUCUCAAGAAUAUAGUGACUCAUAUCUAAAGUUCUAGUGCUUUAGAAUAAUGGACAAAAUCACAUACACUGACUCUUGUGUAUAAAAGCAGAAUUAAAAUACCAAUUAAGGUAAAUGUCAACAAAAGCAUUCAAAGCUCAGUAAGAAGGAGGAACCAAGAUACUGAAGAUACAGUAUAGAAUGAGGGUUUCUUCCCCCGAGGAAUUUAUGGUCUAGAAGGAAAUAUUUAUCUAAGGCUUGAUAUAUAUUCUGCCUCAAAGUUUGUCUUAUAUAGUAGAUGAUUUGUCUUGUUUAUCUUGAAUUAGUAGAUUUUGUACGGUACUCAACAAUCUUUAAGAUGGUCCACGCACUUAUGAACUAUUGAUAUGAUUAUGAAUAUUGUUCUUCUCUUUAACGUAUCAGAUGCCUUUUCUUUUUUUUCUUUUUGUGAAGUGUGAAAUGACCUGAGGUUCGCUUUAGUAGUGUUUUCUGUUUGCAGA
Sus scrofa (pig) is the source of this 3961-nucleotide non-coding RNA. Lineage: Eukaryota; Metazoa; Chordata; Mammalia; Artiodactyla; Suidae. The record is from RefSeq and is a predicted model, not a curated record.